This is an RNA transcript of Malania oleifera, 1834 nucleotides long. It is a transcript of the gene named E3 ubiquitin-protein ligase RING1-like, with no coding region annotated. The transcript has 3 exons. NCBI's taxonomy places the organism in Eukaryota, Viridiplantae, Streptophyta, Magnoliopsida, Santalales, Ximeniaceae. The record is from RefSeq and is a predicted model, not a curated record.
ACACAUUUUCGUUACAUGCUUCGGCUUUCGUUUGGGUGUACCAAAACACCAAGGAAAUGUUUGGUCGGGCUCGUUGCCCAGUCAUCCACAUUUUCUCCUCGUUUUGUAAUACCCGAGUCUGCAAGGUCGUCCUCUUGUAAAUCGCCCCCUUCCGUCCCCUCGCCAAGAAUGUCUUUCAGUGGAAUCCCAGGCACCGAUGGCGCCGGAGGUGUCGUUGGCGGCGCGGCAACCGGCCCUCAGAAUUACUUCUGUCACCAGUGCAAUCGUACGGUCUCCGUAGUUUCCUCUUCCGACGUACGCUGUUCCGUAUGCUAUGGUGGCUUCGUUGAAGAACAUGAACAACCCCCUAAUCCAAACCCUAACCCUAAUCCCUUCAUUACCUUCUCCGACUCGCCGUCCAUUUCCGCUCGCGUCGGUGGUGGCGGUGGUCUCCCUCUCAUCUUCUCCACCACCCCAAGUGCCGGCAGCGGCGGCGGGGUCGAUUUCCAAAACGCCAGCGACUUUUCUAAUCUUUUCGGCGGUGAACGGGCGGUAUUGUUUCAAGACCCCGAUGCCUUCAACCCAUUCCUUUUUCUUCAGAACUAUCUCCAAACCAUGAGACCUGGCGGCGCCAAUAUCCAAUUCGUGAUCGAUAACAAUACCGGCGAUCCCGCCGGAGGAGGGUUACGUCUCCCGGCUAAUCUUGGCGACUAUUUUAUUGGUCCUGGUCUCGAGCAACUCAUCCAGCAGCUGGCCGAAAAUGACCCAAAUCGAUACGGUACGCCCCCUGCAUCGAAAUCUGCAGUUGAAGCGCUUCCUGAAAUCAAAAUUACGGAGGAGUUGCUGUCUUCGGACUCUUCACAAUGUGCGGUCUGUAAAGACACCUUUGAGCUUGGUGCGGAGGCCAAGCAGAUGCCUUGUAAGCACAUUUAUCAUCCGGACUGUAUCCUCCCUUGGUUGGGAAUGCAUAAUUCUUGUCCAGUCUGUCGAUAUGAGUUGCCGACUGAAGAUCCCGAUUAUGAGCAUGGGACUCGGGAAACUCGGGUCACUCCCAAUUCAACUGCAGUUGGUGGUUUAGCAGAUUCGUCAUCUUCUUCUGCUACAGGUGCUGGGGCAACAUCUCAAGAAAGUGGUCAGACGCCGCGGACGGCAGAACGGAGGUUUAGGAUUCCAUUGUAUUGGCCGUUUAGGAUGUUUGGAUCAUCUGCAGAAACGAGCAAUAGUAAUAGUGGCAACAAUGACGGGGAAUCAAACUCUGCGGGCAGGGGAAAUCGAGAUUUUGGAGCAGAGGGCAGACAAGAAGAUCUUGAUUGAGAUUAUGACUACUGCAACGAAUAAGCAAUGAGGAAUUGUGCACAUGCAAGACUUGAAACUGACUUGGAAGGGAAGAAAAGCAGCUCUAAUAUUUGCAAAUGGAAAGGAUCUUCCUCUACAUUGGGGAUUAGUGACGGGCAUUUUUAAUACUGUUAUAUUAAUAGGUAAAUGUAUUUUCAUUCUUAAUACCUUUUUUCAUGCUUCGAAAUUUUUUUGGAGGUUAUUUCAUGUGAUAAAUUUACGUUCACCAUUGCAUGUAUGUAUGAUGAUUGCACCAUGUGGAAAGUCUGUUAUGCUUACUACAUCCAUCCCACCCCGGGACUUUUGUUUUGUGAUGGAUGGGAACUUAAAGCGCGAGUUAUUUGCUCCAAUGAAUCUGUAUUGUUGCAAAUCUGAAGCUAUACCUAGCUAUAAAACUAGUAGCUAUGUUUGGGAAAAGAGUGAAAUCAUUCCAUCGUGCUGUUGGAGCUUAUGAUUUUGUUUGGUAGACAAAACUAGAAUGGAAUUAAUUUUUAUAUAUUUUAUUUUAUGUUGUUCUCAA